This 713-nucleotide long non-coding RNA is filed under the name Homo sapiens (human). RNAcentral describes it as "non-protein coding lnc-ARF6-11:1". Lineage: Eukaryota; Metazoa; Chordata; Mammalia; Primates; Hominidae. The record is from RNAcentral.
AUGGUCUGCAUGAGUGGCCUGGCUGACACCCUCAGAGCACCAACAAUGCUGAAAAGAGAAGCAGACACCAGGUUCUUUUUUUCUCUUUCUUUCUUUUUUUGAGACAGAGUCUUGCUCUGUCACCCAGGCUGAAGUGCAGUGGCGCGAUCUCGGUUCACUGCAACCUCCACCUUCUGGGUUCAAGUGAUUCUCCUGCCUCAGCCUCCCAAGUAGCUGGGACUACAGGCAUGCACCACCAAGCCUGGCUAAUUUUUGUAUUUUUGGUAGCGACGGGGUUUCACCAUGUUGGCCAGGCUGGUAUUGAACUCCUGAUCCCAAGUGAUCCACCUACCUCAGCCUCCCAAAUUUCUGGGAUUACAGGCAUGAGCCAGUGUGCCUGGCCAACACCAGGUUCUUAUUAGGCUGUGCUCCAAUAUCAUCAUCUGGUUUCUCAUUGUGAUGAUGAAGCUUGAUAACUUUGGAAAAUUUGAAAUCGUCGUUGAUCCUAGAACUGAGAAAAUUGUUGUGACCCUCACAGGCAGGCUAAAUAAAUGUGCAGUGAUCAUCUCCAGAUUUACUGUGCAACUCAAAGACCUAGAAAAAUGGCAGAUUAGUCUCCAUCCCAUCAGUUUGGUUUUAUUGACCUGAUGACUGAAGCUGGCAUCAUGGACCACGAGGAAGCACGAGAAAGGCACAGAGGAGAGAAAACCCUGGGAUUCUUUUUCUGGGGAUGA